Molecule: ribosomal RNA, 378 nt
Filed under: Triticum aestivum (bread wheat)
Lineage: Eukaryota; Viridiplantae; Streptophyta; Magnoliopsida; Poales; Poaceae
Description: partial small subunit ribosomal RNA
Source: RNAcentral
AUGAUCCAGACGGCUCAUAAAAGGAAGUUGCCCGUGGUGGCCUUAAAGUUGGAUUUUCAAAAAGCUUUUGACUCCGUCAGUUGGCCUUGCCUUCUCAACAUUUUGUCUGCCAGAGGCUUCCCUCAGCGUUGGAUCAGUUGGGUCCAAUGCUUGGUAUCCACGGCAACCUCUCGCAUCCUUUUGAAUGGGGAACUGGGUGACCCUUUUGCUAAUAAGCGAGGCUUCAGACAGGGCGAUUCCAUAUCGCCAUACUUAUUCAUCUUAGUGGCCGAUGUUCUGCAACGUCACUGUUGCUCUGCUUUUGAAGAUGGCAGUUUGAUUCACCCCCUCGGUUCGGAUAGAUUUUCCCAGUUCCGCAAUACGCCGAUGACACCUUAA